AGCAGCCGCGGUAAUUCCAGCUCCAAUAGCGUAUAUUAAAGUUGUUGCAGUUAAAAAGCUCGUAGUUGAAUUUCGGGAUCAAUACGUCGGUCGUGCCUUCGGUACGUACUGGCUUAUUGGUUUCUCCUUUCUGAAGAACCAUGAUGUCAUUUAUUUGGUGUCGUGGGGAAUCAGGACUGUUACUUUGAAAAAAUUAGAGUGUUUAAAGCAGGCUCACGCUUGAAUACAUUAGCAUGGAAUAAUGAAAUAGGACGUUUGAUUCUAUUUUGUUGGUUUCUAGGAUCGACGUAAUGAUUAAUAGGGAUAGUUGGGGGCAUUAGUAUUCAAUUGUCAGAGGUGAAAUUCUUGGAUUUAUUGAAGACUAACUACUGCGAAAGCAUUUGCCAAGGAUGUUUUCAUUAAUCAAGAACGAAAGUUAGGGGAUCGAAGACGAUCAGAUACCGUCGUAGUCUUAACCAUAAACUAUGCCGACUAGGGAUCGGAUGAUGUUAAUUUUUUAAUGACUCAUUCGGCGCCUUACG
This 521-nucleotide ribosomal RNA is filed under the name uncultured Glomus. RNAcentral describes it as "SSU rRNA". It matches the Rfam family "Eukaryotic small subunit ribosomal RNA", at positions 569 to 1092 of the family's 1831-position model. The record is from RNAcentral. Lineage: Eukaryota; Fungi; Glomeromycota; Glomeromycetes; Glomerales; Glomeraceae.